Molecule: ribosomal RNA, 492 nt
Filed under: uncultured bacterium
Lineage: Bacteria
Description: partial 16S ribosomal RNA
Rfam family: Bacterial small subunit ribosomal RNA
Source: RNAcentral
AGUGAACGCUGGCGGUAGGCCUAACACGUGCAAGUCGAACGGCAGCACAGUAAGAGCUUGCUCUUACGGGUGGCGAGUGGCGGACGGGUGAGGAAUACAUCGGAAUCUACUUUUUCGUGGGGGAUAACGUACGGAAACUUACGCUAAUACCGCAUACGACCUACGGGUGAAAGCAGGGGAUCUUCGGACCUUGCGCGAUUGAAUGAGCCGAUGUCGGAUUAGCUAGUUGGCGGGGUAAAGGCCCACCAAGGCGACGAUCCGUAGCUGGUCUGAGAGGAUGAUCAGCCACACUGGAACUGAGACACGGUCCAGACUCCUACGGGAGGCAGCAGUGGGGAAUAUUGGACAAUGGGCGCAAGCCUGAUCCAGCCAUACCGCGUGGGUGAAGAAGGCCUUCGGGUUGUAAAGCCCUUUUGUUGGGAAAGAAAAGCAGCAGGUUAAUACCCCGCUGUUCUGACGGUACCCAAAGAAUAAGCACCGGCUAACUUCGUG